AGCGAACGCUGGCGGCAGGCUUAACACAUGCAAGUCGAGCGGGCGUAGCAAUACGUCAGCGGCAGACGGGUGAGUAACGCGUGGGAACAUACCUUUUGGUUCGGAACAACACAGGGAAACGUUGUGCUAAUACCGGAUAAGCCCUUACGGGGAAAGAUUUAUCGCCGAAAGAUUGGCCCGCGUCUGAUUAGCUAGUUGGUGAGGUAACGGCUCACCAAGGCGACGAUCAGUAGCGGUCUGAGAGGAUGAUCAGCCACAUUGGGACUGAGACACGGCCCAAACUCCUACGGGAGGCAGCAGUGGGGAAUAUUGGACAAUGGGCGCAAGCCUGAUCCAGCCAUGCCGCGUGAGUGAUGAAGGCCCUAGGGUUGUAAAGCUCUUUUGUGCGGGAAGAUAAUGACGGUACCGCAAGAAUAAGCCCCGGCUAACUUCGUGCCAGCAGCCGCCGCCGUAAU
This 455-nucleotide ribosomal RNA is filed under the name uncultured bacterium. RNAcentral's name for it is "bacterial SSU rRNA". It matches the Rfam family "Bacterial small subunit ribosomal RNA", at positions 29 to 524 of the family's 1533-position model. The record is from RNAcentral.